This 495-nucleotide ribosomal RNA is filed under the name uncultured bacterium. RNAcentral's name for it is "partial 16S ribosomal RNA". It matches the Rfam family "Bacterial small subunit ribosomal RNA", at positions 28 to 507 of the family's 1533-position model. The record is from RNAcentral.
GAUGAACGCUGGCGGCGUGCCUAAUACAUGCAAGUAGAACGCUGAAGGAGGAGCUUGCUCUUCUGGAUGAGUUGCGAACGGGUGAGUAACGCGUAGGUAACCUGCCUGGUAGCGGGGGAUAACUAUUGGAAACGAUAGCUAAUACCGCAUGACAACAGUUAUUGCAUGAUAACUGUUUAAAAGGGGCAACUGCUCCACUACCAGAUGGACCUGCGUUGUAUUAGCUAGUUGGUGAGGUAACGGCUCACCAAGGCGACGAUACAUAGCCGACCUGAGAGGGGGGUCGGCCACACUGGGACUGGGACACGGCCCAGACUCCUACGGGAGGCAGCCGUAGGGAAUCUUCGGCAAUGGACGGAAGUCUGACCGAGCAACGCCGCGUGAGUGAAGAAGGUUUUCGGAUCGUAAAGCUCUGUUGUAAGAGAAGAACGAGUGUGAGAGUGGAAAGUUCACACUGUGACGGUAUCUUACCAGAAAGGGACGGCUAACUACGUG